UAAAGUGGUCAGGGUUGUGGCAUUGGCUGGCUGAGUUGGUAUAUAACAGAGUGCAGCCGCCACUUGGAACACAUCCUCUGCUGUUAACCUCCCAGCACACAACCAUCUGAGACAAUGACUCCCAACUGGCGCUUCCUCCUGCUGGCGGUGCUCCUGCUGGCGGUGACCCUCGCCAUGGCCGCCCCAGAGCCCCUGUACGGACGCCGACGCCCGAGCACAUUCCUGCAGGGAUCAUUCCACGGUCAUCGCGGGGGUCAUUAUUACAACAGUCCAGAGGUGUACGGAUACGGUCACGGUUAUAACAGCCCAGAGUACUAUGGACGUGGAUACUAUGGCUAAAUUAUCGAGAUUUCUGCCGCUCUUUACUGUUGCUGUGGUGUGACGUCAUACAGUAGUGUGACGUCAUGCUAUAGUGUGAUGUCAAGCAGUAGUGUGACGUGCAGUAGCUCACUCUUAUAAUUUGGCAAAACAAUAAUUUCUUUCAUUGUUCACAUACUGUAACUGGUGACUUCAACAACCCUCAACAUGUAAAUUAUUCCUUUUUGUGUUACGUCACAAAGAUUUUGGUCAAAAUGGCGUCAAAAUUCAACAUUGACUUUACGUGGGUUGUCGACAUAAUCUGUUAAGGUAGAAUAAGCUAAUGCAAGUUAUUAUCCAGAGUCUUCCAAUCUUCUGUCGCUAAAAUAACAACAAUAUUGGAAUAAAAUCUUGUCAAAAUACAA
This 722-nucleotide long non-coding RNA is filed under the name Homarus americanus (American lobster). RNAcentral describes it as "uncharacterized LOC121857132". Lineage: Eukaryota; Metazoa; Arthropoda; Malacostraca; Decapoda; Nephropidae. The record is from RNAcentral.